GACGAACGCUGGCGGCGUGCUUAACACAUGCAAGUCGAACGGAAAGGCCCUGCUUUUGUGGGGUGCUCGAGUGGCGAAAGGGUGAGUAACACGUGAGUAACCUGCCCUUGACUUUGGGAUAACUUCAGGAAACUGGGGCUAAUACCGGAUAGGAGCUCCUGCUGCAUGGUGGGGGUUGGAAAGUUUCGGCGGUUGGGGAUGGACUCGCGGCUUAUCAGCUUGUUGGUGGGGUAGUGGCUUACCAAGGCUUUGACGGGUAGCCGGCCUGAGAGGGUGACCGGCCACAGUGGGACUGAGAUACGGCCCAGACUCCUACGGGAGGCAGCAGUAGGGAAGAUUGCACAAUGGGCGGAAGCCUAAUGCAGCAACGCCGCGUGCGGGAUGACGGCCUUCGGGUUGUAAUCCGCUUUCGCCUGUGACGAAGCGUGAGUGACGGUAAUGUGUAAAGAAGCACCGGCUAACUACGUG
RNAcentral lists this ribosomal RNA (468 nucleotides) under uncultured bacterium. RNAcentral's name for it is "partial 16S ribosomal RNA". It matches the Rfam family "Bacterial small subunit ribosomal RNA", at positions 28 to 507 of the family's 1533-position model. The record is from RNAcentral.